AGCCCCGGAGCCUUUUAGGGCUCUUCUUCAAAUUUGCAUUUUGACGUAAGGUACCGCAGGACU
Molecule: transfer RNA, 63 nt
Filed under: Anolis princeps
Lineage: Eukaryota; Metazoa; Chordata; Lepidosauria; Squamata; Anolidae
Description: tRNA-Cys
Source: RNAcentral